This 759-nucleotide ribosomal RNA is filed under the name uncultured crenarchaeote. RNAcentral's name for it is "bacterial SSU rRNA". It matches the Rfam family "Archaeal small subunit ribosomal RNA", at positions 650 to 1412 of the family's 1478-position model. Lineage: Archaea; Thermoproteati; Thermoproteota. The record is from RNAcentral.
UUGAUGACCACCUUUGGCGAAGGCUUUACCAGAACACGUCCGACGUGAGGGAUGAAAACUGGGGAGCAAACCGGAUUAAAUACCCGGGUAGUCCCAGCUGUAAACUAUGCAAACUCGGUGAUGCAUUGGCUUGUAGCCAGUGCAGUGCCGCAGGGAAGCCGUUAAGUUUGCCGCCUGGGAAGUACGUACGCAAGUAUGUAACUUAAAGGAAUUGGCGGGGGAGCACCACAAGGGGUGAAGCCUGCGGUUCAAUUGGAGCCAACGCCAGAAAUCUUACCCGGAGAGACAGCAGAAUGAAGGUCAAGCUGAAGACUUUACCAGACAAGCUGAGAGGUGGUGCAUGGCCGUCGCCAGCUCGUGCCGUGAGAUGUCCUGUUAAGUCAGGUAACGAGCGAGAUCCCUGCCUCUAGUUGCCACCAUUACUCUCAGGAGUAGUGGGGCGAAUUAGCGGGACCGCCGCAGUUAAUGCGGAGGAAGGAAGGGGCCACGGCAGGUCAGUAUGCCCCGAAACUCUGGGGCCACACGCGGGCUGCAAUGGUAGUGACAAUGAGUUCCUAAACCGAAAGGUGGAGGUAAUCUUCAAACGCUACCACAGUUAUGAUUGAGGGCUGCAACUCGCCCUCAUGAAUAUGGAAUCCCUAGUAACUGCGUGUCAUUAUCGCGCGGUGAAUACGUCCCUGCUCCUUGCACACACCGCCCGUCGUUUCAUUGAAGUUUGCUUUUAAUGAGGUGACGUCUUAUUGGCGUUAUCGAAUUGAG